GUGAGGAAUAUUGGACAAUGGGUGAAAGCCUGAUCCAGCCAUCACGCGUGAAGGACGACGGCCCUAUGGGUUGUAAACUUCUUUUGUACAGGGAUAAACCUCCCCUCGUGAGGGGAGCUGAAGGUACUGUACGAAUAAGCACCGGCUAACUCCGUGCCAGCAGCCGCGGUAAUACGGAGGGUGCAAGCGUUAUCCGGAUUUAUUGGGUUUAAAGGGUCCGUAGGCGGGCCCGUAAGUCAGUGGUGAAAUCUCGCAGCUUAACUGCGAAACUGCCAUUGAUACUGCGGGUCUUGAGUGAAUUUGAAGUGGCUGGAAUAAGUAGUGUAGCGGUGAAAUGCAUAGAUAUUACUUAGAACACAGAUUGCGAAGGCAGGUCGCUAAGAUUCAACUGACGCUGAGGGACGAAAGCGUGGGGAGCGAACAGGAUUAGAAACCCGAGUAGUCC
This 445-nucleotide ribosomal RNA is filed under the name uncultured bacterium. Its description in RNAcentral is "bacterial SSU rRNA". It matches the Rfam family "Bacterial small subunit ribosomal RNA", at positions 354 to 796 of the family's 1533-position model. The record is from RNAcentral.